GUUUUACAUUUGUAAAACUGUUCUUCAGUUGAAAACAAUCACAAUAUUAACAUAAAAGCUUUUAUUUUUAGGGAUGGUUAAAUUGCUAGGUUAAAGAGGUUAGCCAGCAUAAAAGAUAUUGAAAAAAACCGUGGAAAUCUGCUUGAAAUUAAAGUAAAUGAUUACAGCAAUGUAGAGCAUUCAUCUGAGGGUUGCUUCACAAAUUAUGUUUUGCUUGUGUGCUGCAGGAAAGAGGUACACUGUGAUGUUGGAUUGAAAUUAAGUGGCUUCUAGCUGUACAGGCUCUAAAGUUAUGUAUAGAUCAAGAUUAAGGAUUCGGAUUUAAAAAGUUAAAAGAAAUAGAAAAUUGGCUUUUAAUAGGUAAAAAUUUAAUGAUAUAUUACAUUAAAAUUAAGGAUUGGGAUUAAAAAAGAGGGAAAGAAAUUGCGGGACAAACAAAUUGAACUGGAAUACAAAAGAGGGAGGUAUGAGGAGGUCCAGAAAAUAAGUAAAUUUAAAAGUGGUGAUGGAAAGAUGGUAUUGUUUUUAACCGUUUUCUUUUUUUCCUUUUUUUUUGCUUUUUGUUUUUUGUAUUUUGUAUUAUGUAUUUUUGUAUUGUGUAUUUUUCUUUUUUACUUGUAAUUCUUUUUUACUGAUGUGUCUUUUUUUCUAUUGGAAACUUCAAUAAAUAUCAUUUAAAAAAAAAAAGGAAAGAGGUACACUGUCACUUAUUGUGUGCAUUGUUGGUGUUCAUUGUGCUGGCAAAUCCACAGUUUAGGAAUCCUAGUUUAGAUGGGAUAAGGGUGAAAGAAUCUGGUUAAGAGGCCUAGGUAGAAAAUGUUGGGUG
Non-coding RNA from Podarcis lilfordi (Lilford's wall lizard), 826 nucleotides. The record is from the annotation of a GenBank genome assembly. NCBI's taxonomy places the organism in Eukaryota, Metazoa, Chordata, Lepidosauria, Squamata, Lacertidae.